GAUGAACGCUGGCGGCGUGCCUAAUACAUGCAAGUCGAGCGAACGGACGAGAAGCUUGCUUCUCUGAUGUUAGCGGCGGACGGGUGAGUAACACGUGGAUAACCUACCUAUAAGACUGGGAUAACUUCGGGAAACCGUAGCUAAUACCGGAUAAUAUUUUGAACCGCAUGGUUCAAAAGUGAAAGACGGUCUUGCUGUCACUUAUAGAUGGAUCCGCGCUGCAUUAGCUAGUUGGUAAGGUAACGGCUUACCAAGGCAACGAUGCAUAGCCGACCUGAGAGGGUGAUCGGCCACACUGGAACUGAGACGCGGACCAGACUACUACGGGAGGCAGCAGUAGGGAAUCAUCCGCAAUGGGCGAAGGAAUGACGGGGCAACGGCGGGUGAGUGAUGGAGGUCUUCGGAACGUAAAACUCUGUUAUUAGGGAAGAACAUAUGUGUAAGUAACUGUGCACAUCGUGACGGUACCUAAUCAGAAAGCCACGGCUAACUACGUG
RNAcentral lists this ribosomal RNA (497 nucleotides) under uncultured bacterium. RNAcentral's name for it is "partial 16S ribosomal RNA". It matches the Rfam family "Bacterial small subunit ribosomal RNA", at positions 28 to 507 of the family's 1533-position model. The record is from RNAcentral.